This 406-nucleotide ribosomal RNA is filed under the name uncultured bacterium. Its description in RNAcentral is "partial 16S ribosomal RNA". It matches the Rfam family "Bacterial small subunit ribosomal RNA", at positions 30 to 526 of the family's 1533-position model. The record is from RNAcentral.
AUUGAACGCUGGCGGCAGGCCUAACACAUGCAAGUCGGGCGAGCCGCGGACGGGAGAGUAAUGUAUGGGGAUCUGCCUGAUGGCGGGGGAUACCUACUGGAAACGGUAGCUAAUACCGCAUACCCUCACAUGAACCCGUAUUGUAUUAGCUAGUGGGUAAGGUAACGGAUUACGUGGGCGACGAUCCCUAGCUGGUCUGAGAGGAUGAGCAGCCACAUUGGGACUGAGAUACGGCCCAGACCCCUACGGGAGGCAGCAGUGGGGAAGAGUGCACAAUGGGCGAAAGCCUGAUUCAGCCAUGCAGCGUGUAUGAAGAAGGCCUUCGGGUUGUAAAGUACUUUCAGGCGGGAGGCGUUACCGACAGAAGAAGCACCGGCUAACUCCGUGCCAGCAGCCGCGGUAAUAC